RNAcentral lists this ribosomal RNA (608 nucleotides) under uncultured bacterium. RNAcentral describes it as "bacterial SSU rRNA". It matches the Rfam family "Bacterial small subunit ribosomal RNA", at positions 338 to 961 of the family's 1533-position model. The record is from RNAcentral.
CCUACGGGAGGCAGCAGUGGGGAAUAUUGGACAAUGGGCGAAAGCCUGAUCCAGCAAUGCCGCGUGAGUGAUGAAGGCCUUCGGGUCGUAAAGCUCUUUUACCAGGGAUGAUAAUGACAGUACCUGGAGAAUAAGCUCCGGCUAACUCCGUGCCAGCAGCCGCGGUAAUACGGAGGGAGCUAGCGUUGUUCGGAAUUACUGGGCGUAAAGAGUACGUAGGCGGUUAUUCAAGUCAGAGGUGAAAGCCCGGGGCUCAACCCCGGAACUGCCUUUGAAACUAGAUAACUAGAGUCUUGGAGAGGUUAGUGGAAUUCCGAGUGUAGAGGUGAAAUUCGUAGAUAUUCGGAAGAACACCAGUGGCGAAGGCGACUAACUGGACAAGUACUGACGCUGAGGUACGAAAGCGUGGGGAGCAAACAGGAUUAGAUACCCUGGUAGUCCACGCCGUAAACGAUGAUAACUAGUUGUUCGGUCACUUGGUGACUGAGUGACGCAGCUAACGCAUUAAGUUAUCCGCCUGGGGAGUACGGUCGCAAGAUUAAAACUCAAAAGUGAAGUAGACGGCGUGUAGACGUUGCCGAACGGACGACGAACGAGGGGAGGUUAGG